RNAcentral lists this transfer RNA (73 nucleotides) under Torpedo marmorata (marbled electric ray). RNAcentral describes it as "tRNA-Asn". It matches the Rfam family "tRNA". Rfam says of the family: Transfer RNA (tRNA) molecules are approximately 80 nucleotides in length. Their secondary structure includes four short double-helical elements and three loops (D, anti-codon, and T loops). Lineage: Eukaryota; Metazoa; Chordata; Chondrichthyes; Torpediniformes; Torpedinidae. RNAcentral also lists the same sequence under 1 other name. The record is from RNAcentral.
UAGGUAAAAGUUCGCUGGAUUGAACGCUUAGCUGUUAACUGAGACGUCGUAGGAUCGAAGCCUACUUAUCUAU